CCGGCGGCUGGCGACUGUCGGGGUGGAAGCCGAGGAUUGCCCUUUGUCUGGACAACUUUUCCGGAGGAGGCGCCCUCUCCGAGGGGCUGUCUCCUUGGAGGUCAAGGGAGCGGGAACGGAGCCCCAACUAUUUCCAAGCCUGUUUUUCCACAACUGUAAGAGAAUUAGGACCCAGGAGAUUCCGGAAAUCUCUCCAAAGGGAAAGUGCUGAUCAUCUUUCCUUCUGCCCACAAGCUUCACUCUCCAGCGCCCCGUUGCUCUCUGUUUGCCCUGAGGCAGUAGAGUCACCAUCUAGACGACAGACCUAGCUGCCUAAGAGUCACUGCUUUGGAGCUCAGGCUCUUAAUUAGAGAUUUCAGCUCCAGGACUUCUGCUCCCCGCCCCCCCCCCCCAAAAGUUAAUGAUCUGUAAGGCCUCUCAACCAACAUCUCUCCCACAAAGUCCGGCUCCAUUUCUGCAGCGGGCUUGGGGAACUGGGCCCCAGGACUUGUCUCUGCCCCCAGGAAAGCAGUGGUGAAAAUCAUGGUUGAGAAAGGGCCAUGUGAGGAUACAGUGACAAAGCCGCCAUCUGCAAGCCAAGCAGACGGGCUUCCAGGGAAACCAAAUCUGCUGACAUCCUGAUCUGUACUACCAGCUUCUAGAACAAUGAGAAAUACAUUUCUGUUAUUUACGCUCCCCAUUGUGUGGUAUUUUGUUAUGGGAGCCCUAGCAGACCAAGACAGUUUACCCAAUUUGUUUAUCCAUUCUCUUGUUGAUGGAUGUUUGGUUGUUUCCAGUUUUGGGUUUUUUUUUUGCAAUU
Long non-coding RNA from Odocoileus virginianus texanus, 799 nucleotides. RefSeq lists it as uncharacterized. The record is from RefSeq and is a predicted model, not a curated record. NCBI's taxonomy places the organism in Eukaryota, Metazoa, Chordata, Mammalia, Artiodactyla, Cervidae.